This 305-nucleotide ribosomal RNA is filed under the name uncultured bacterium. RNAcentral's name for it is "bacterial SSU rRNA". It matches the Rfam family "Bacterial small subunit ribosomal RNA", at positions 30 to 339 of the family's 1533-position model. The record is from RNAcentral.
AUUGAACGCUGGCGGAAUGCUUUACACAUGCAAGUCGAACGGUAGAGGGGGCAACCCCUUGAGAGUGGCGAACGGGUGAGUAAUGUAUCGGAACGUGCCCAGUCGUGGGGGAUAASGUAGKGAAAAUUACGCUAAUACCGCAUACGAUCUAUGGAUGAAAGCGGGGGAUCGCAAGACCUCGCGCGAUUGGAGCGGCCGAUAUCAGAUUAGGUAGUUGGUGGGGUAAAGGCUCACCAAGCCAACGAUCUGUAGCUGGUCUGAGAGGACAACCAGCCACACUGGAACUGAGACACGGUCCAUCCGUG